AGAGUUUGAUCCUGGCUCAGAUUGAACGCUGGCGGCAUGCCUUACACAUGCAAGUCGAACGGCAGCACGAGAGCUUGCUCUUGGUGGCGAGUGGCGAACGGGUGAGUAAUAUAUCGGAACGUACCCUAGAGUGGGGGAUAACGUAGCGAAAGUUACGCUAAUACCGCAUACGAUCUACGGAUGAAAGUGGGGGAUCGCAAGACCUCAUGCUCAUGGAGCGGCCGAUAUCUGAUUAGCUAGUUGGUGGGGUAAAAGCUCACCAAGGCGACGAUCAGUAGCUGGUCUGAGAGGACGACCAGCCACACUGGAACUGAGACACGGUCCAGACUCCUACGGGAGGCAGCAGUGGGGAAUUUUGGACAAUGGGCGCAAGCCUGAUCCAGCAAUGCCGCGUGAGUGAAGAAGGCCUUCGGGUUGUAAAGCUCUUUUGUCAGGGAAGAAACGGUGGACUCUAAUACAGAUCACUAAUGACGGUACCUGAAGAAUAAGCACCGGCUAACUACGUGCCAGCAGCCGCGGUAAUACGUAGGGUGCAAGCGUCAAUCGGAAUUACUGGGCGUAAAGCGUGCGCAGGCGGUUGUGCAAGACAGAUGUGAAAUCCCCGGGCUCAACCUGGGAAUUGCAUUUGUGACUGCACGGCUAGAGUGUGUCAGAGGGGGGUAGAAUUCCACGUGUAGCAGUGAAAUGCGUAGAGAUGUGGAGGAAUACCGAUGGCGAAGGCAGCCCCCUGGGAUAACACUGACGCUCAUGCACGAAAGCGUGGGGAGCAAACAGGAUUAGAUACCCUGGUAGUCCACGCCCUAAACGAUGUCUACUAGUUGUCGGGUCUUAAUUGACUUGGUAACGCAGCUAACGCGUGAAGUAGACCGCCUGGGGAGUACGGUCGCAAGAUUAAAACUCAAAGGAAUUGACGGGGACCCGCACAAGCGGUGGACGAUGUGGAUUAAUUCGAUGCAACGCGAAAAACCUUACCUACCCUUGACAUGUCUGGAAUCCUUGAGAGAUCAGGGAGUGCUCGAAAGAGAAUCAGAACACAGGUGCUGCAUGGCUGUCGUCAGCUCGUGUCGUGAGAUGUUGGGUUAAGUCCCGCAACGAGCGCAACCCUUGUCAUUAGUUGCUACGAAAGGGCACUCUAAUGAGACUGCCGGUGACAAACCGGAGGAAGGUGGGGAUGACGUCAAGUCCUCAUGGCCCUUAUGGGUAGGGCUUCACACGUCAUACAAUGGUACAUACAGAGGGCCGCCAACCCGCGAGGGGGAGCUAAUCCCAGAAAGUGUAUCGUAGUCCGGAUUGUAGUCUGCAACUCGACUACAUGAAGUUGGAAUCGCUAGUAAUCGCGGAUCAGCAUGUCGCGGUGAAUACGUUCCCGGGUCUUGUACACACCGCCCGUCACACCAUGGGAGCGGGUUUCACCAGAAGUGGGUAGCCUAACCGCAAGGAGGGCGCUCACCACGGUGGGAUUCGUGACUGGGGUGAAGUCGUAACAAGGUA
Molecule: ribosomal RNA, 1491 nt
Filed under: metagenome
Description: bacterial SSU rRNA
Rfam family: Bacterial small subunit ribosomal RNA
Source: RNAcentral